AAGUUCUUUUCUCAUCUCUUCCUCCUUUGUUCUCAGUACCUUCAUACUAGUCAACUAUCUACAAUUUGAAAAUAAUAGAGCCUCAAAAAAGGUUUCAGUUUCUACUCCAGAUGUAGAUAUUGUAAUAACAUGGGUUAAUGGAUCAGACCCACAGUUUUUAAAAUCUUUAGG
Eurytemora carolleeae is the source of this 171-nucleotide long non-coding RNA. RefSeq lists it as uncharacterized. The transcript has 3 exons. The record is from RefSeq and is a predicted model, not a curated record. Lineage: Eukaryota; Metazoa; Arthropoda; Copepoda; Calanoida; Temoridae.